This 433-nucleotide ribosomal RNA is filed under the name uncultured bacterium. RNAcentral describes it as "partial 16S ribosomal RNA". It matches the Rfam family "Bacterial small subunit ribosomal RNA", at positions 29 to 507 of the family's 1533-position model. The record is from RNAcentral.
AACGAACGCUGGCGGCAUGCCUAACACAUGCAAGUCGAACGAGACCUUCGGGUCUAGUGGCGCACGGGUGCGUAACGCGUGGGAACCUGCCCUUAGGUUCGGAAUAACUCCCCGAAAGGGGUGCUAAUACCGGAUAAUGUCUUCGGACCAAAGAUUUAUCGCGUUUGGAUGGGCCCGCGUUGGUUUAGCUAGUUGGUAGGGUAAAAGCCUACCAAGGCGACGUUCCAUAGCUGGUCUGAGAGGCAGAGCAGCCACACUGGGACUGGGACACGGCCCAGACUCCUACGGGAGGGAGCAGUGGGGAAUAUAGGAAAAUGGGCGAAAGCCUGAUCCAGCAAUGCCGCGUGAGUGAUGAAGGCCUUAGGGUUGUAAAGCUCUUUUACCCGGGAUGAUAAUGACAGUACCGGGAGAAUAAGCUCCGGCUAACUCCGUG